This 585-nucleotide ribosomal RNA is filed under the name uncultured bacterium. RNAcentral's name for it is "bacterial SSU rRNA". It matches the Rfam family "Bacterial small subunit ribosomal RNA", at positions 352 to 854 of the family's 1533-position model. The record is from RNAcentral.
UUUUAGGUCUCAAUGCGCCUUGGGCGAAUACCUGACGCUGCGACGCCGCGUGGGGGCAGAUGGUCUUCGGCCUGUAAACCCCACUCGGGAGGGAUGAUGGAGUGGGGUAACCCCAUCGGACGGUACCUCCAGAUGCAGCCACGGCUAAUUCUCGUGCCAGCAGCCGCGGUACUACGAAGGCGGCAAGCGUCUGUCUCGGAUUUACUGGGCGUACAGGGAGCGUAGGCGGUCUCGGUAAGCCCUCUGUGAACUCUCCAGGCUCUAUCCUGGAACAGCUCGGAGGGGACUUGCUUGGGCUUAGAGGACGGGAGAGGAGCGCGGAACUCUCCCGGUUGUUAGCGGUUGAAAAUGCGUUAGAGAUCGGGAGGAAAGGCCGGUUGGCGAAAGGCGGCGCUUCUUGGAAACGUUUUCUGACGCUUGAGGCUUCGAAAAGCGUUGGGGAGCAAAACAGGAUCUAGAUACCCCCUGGUUAGUUCCCACGCCCUUUAAAACUUAUGACUACCUUAAGCUGUUCGGCGGGUUCUACCCGCCCGGUUUGCCCGCAGCCUUAACGCAUUUAAGCUAUUCCCGCCUUGGGGGAAGCUA